AAAAUCCUAUCGGUUUAUUUUUGACACACAAUUUUUUUUUCGGGCAUAUUAAAAGUUGACUACCACAAACAUAAUUUGUAGGUUUUCUUGCGUGCUCUUUAGGUAAAGCCAAAUGUAAGUAGUUCUGACAGCUAUAGCUAUAUCUUUUCCAUUAAAGGGCAUCAAUAUUUCAUGAGUUUAUCAAUUUUCUUAGUUAUUUCAAAAUAAUUAACGUUUUGCCUUUUAAAACCUUCAAUAAUGAAAGUGUCAUUUACAACUUAACGCUAAUAGCGCCGGCUGGGAAAGUAUUUAUUUCAUUGUACUGAGCCCACGCUUUCAAAAUUAAACGAUUUAGCUGGUAAAAACAGGAAAAAAAUAAAGGGGAAGAAAGCGAGGAACUUGAUAUUCUCUGUAUUUUGUAAAUAAAACGAAUAGAAUGAGUACACAAACACCGUGUUAAAAAGUCCACAAAAUAUAUCGACGGUUAAUUUUUCCAUUGUUAACCUUGUUACUAUUUUAUUUUCAUCUUGGAGCUGAAUGAAUGAGUACUUUUUAAGAACAACUUUUAUUUUUUCUCUUGUCAACAGAAGGUUCUACUUGCACAGUUCCCGUGCCGGAACAAGCACUUUAGAAUAAUCAGCACUUGCGGGGACAACAAAGAAUUGGCUGGGAAUAUCUUAGAAGGCCAAGUUGCUAAUUACAGCUCACGCAAGAUUACAAUGCGGAAAAGAUAUUCACAAAAACCAAGGUAACGUUGCGCAACGAGAAGACAUGAAACCAAAAAGAAACCAUGUGUUUAUUUUAAAAAAGGACCGCAUAACAGCCCAUAACAUACACCUGAUUGCCAGAGUGGUGAUACCUAAAAAGCGUUAAUUUACGAUGAAUGGUGACACCCAACAAGUCUAUGGGUCAGAUGUACGUGUGCUAACCACCAUUCGUUGCACGUUGUGCGGAAUAAUGGAAGCUGUCCAAGCUUUCCUGAAAGAAAAAGCUUAUUGCAAAAAAAAACGAUUUUCCGUGAGUAAUGAGAAAAGUGAAUGAUUUGUGCGAAUAUUUCCCAUAAAGCCGUCGGGUCGUUCAAGGAUCAUCAUUCUCACUAAUUCAUUUUAAAACGUUCGCUGCCAGGACGUUUAAAAAGCUAAUAUUUUAUCGCGGCCAUGGCCCUAUUCCAUUAUACAUAAGUAGGGCUCAUUAAUGCGAGGAUCACUGUUAGACAUUUCAUGAACCGCAGUACAGCUAUGUGAUUUUCAUACGAUUUUCAUUGAUUCAUUAUGGUAACCGCAUGUAUUAGUUUGUCCUUCGAUAGGUCGCUGAAACCAAUCAAAAUUCGGGUAGAAUUCAACCAGGAGAUUUUGAGAAAUAGAGGUAGUAAUAAAGAGAUCAUUGAAAUUUUUUUUAAAUGA
This is a long non-coding RNA of Stylophora pistillata, 1382 nucleotides long. RefSeq lists it as uncharacterized. The record is from RefSeq and is a predicted model, not a curated record. NCBI's taxonomy places the organism in Eukaryota, Metazoa, Cnidaria, Anthozoa, Scleractinia, Pocilloporidae.